UACGUAGGGAGCGAGCGUUGUUCGGAUUUACUGGGCGUAAAGAGCACGUAGGCGGGUACGCAAGUCGGUUGUGAAAUCCUCUGGCUCAACCAGAGAAUUGCAGUCGAAACUGCAUACCUUGAGUCCAGCAGAGGGAAUCGGAAUCAGCAGUGUAGCGGUGAAAUGCGUAGAUAUUGCUGAGAACACCAGUGGCGAAGGCGGAUUCCUGGGCUGGUACUGACGCUGAGGUGCGAAAGCGUGGGGAGCGAACAGG
This 253-nucleotide unclassified non-coding RNA is filed under the name uncultured bacterium. RNAcentral describes it as "contains 16S-23S intergenic spacer region". It matches the Rfam family "Bacterial small subunit ribosomal RNA", at positions 524 to 776 of the family's 1533-position model. The record is from RNAcentral.